This is a long non-coding RNA of Gallus gallus (chicken), 2484 nucleotides long. RefSeq lists it as uncharacterized. The record is from RefSeq and is a predicted model, not a curated record. The transcript is spliced from 3 exons. Lineage: Eukaryota; Metazoa; Chordata; Aves; Galliformes; Phasianidae.
AGCCACACGCACGUUUGCAGGGCAUGGGUGGGAAUGAAAGGGAGUGUUGCAGAGCGCUCCAGCAUCCUCGUGUGCUCGCCCGGCUGCUCCGCUCCGCCACAGGCACACAGCUGGCCGGGAACGAGCGAGCCCGUGGAGCUCCUGUGCAGCCCGACAGGCUGAAACGUCCCAGAGAAGCCGUACAGGCAGAUCUGCCGAGGAGGAAAAUACAACAGCCCAUCAAAGCCUGGAGGUCAUUCAUCCUCAUUCUCUGGCACUUAUCAACAAACCCAGUGAACUUUUCUUUAAUGCAGACAUGCUAAACAGCAUCGAAGACAACGGAGAUGUACAUCCAUUAACAACAGCACAGCUGUCAUUUUAGACAUUAGCAUAAAAUGUUUGGUCAGAGAGAUUUCAUGCGCUAAAUAAAAGAUUUGCAAAGAGCCUGCCUGGUGAUGAACAGCCAGGGUGGAAAAGUCAUCCCAUAGUCCUGUUUUCCAACAACCUCUUUCAUGUAGGAGGCCCCGUGAGAUCCUUCACCAGCUAUUCAUCAAGUGCCACUGAAAUGUCCACUGGAGCUCUCUGGAGAAGAGUUUGAUACCAGAUAGUUAAAUGUUUUCUGUGCAGCGACAGUUCUCAGAAACCUUUUGAGAAUACCCUCCAGCAUUUUCUGGGAUGAUUAAAUACGACUUGGAAACCACGUUUCUCCAAUGAGAUCACGAGGAAAGGAAUUUCCUUGGUACAAAAUCCCCCUCUUGUUCCCUGGAUGAUGUCAGGUGGAGAAUCAAGACACUGGAUCUAAAGGUGGCACUGGCUGAAACCUUUGCCGGCUCCCUCCCCUGCCUGGCUGCAACCACAAGUUUCUCCGGGAGAGGAGUCCAGCAGCACAGCCAGGAGGCAUCGAUUCAAACGGCAUGCGAGGAGCUCACUGAACCACCAGUGCCUCCAUUUACCAAGGAGGUGGAGUAGAGACAACACCAGCUGUCCGCCUGUCUCAAGCUGGAUUCAGGCAGCACUUCAAAAAUAGCAAGAGUUGGUUUGGUAUCAGUUGUGAACCUGAUGGGGCUGGUCAGAACCACACGGGUUUCCUGGGCCGAGACCGCAGCAAGAAAUGAGCUUCGCAGUGUAACUGAGUGACGGUGUAUAGGAAGAACCCAUCCCCUAAAAAAAUGCUCACGGAGAGAAGAGCUUAAGGGAUGAUAUUAAGUUGGACAACCACGUUAAACUGCAUCUGAAAAGGAAAUUGGUAAUUCCUCAUCUAUUUUUUGAUGAAAAAUGGGGCUUUUUUUUUAUAAUGAAAAGCAUUUUUAUGGAGCAAUCCUGUGAGAUGCCAAAUGUUUUGGCCCUGAUCUAGCUAGAUAUUUAACCAUGCACUUCAUUUCUUAAGCUGCUCAUGUGCCUAACCAUUUUGCUGGAUCAAGCCCAGAGCUCUCAGCAUUUGGUGAGGUGUCAAAGGACCAGGGCUGUGUUUGCAGUAGCAUUACUGAACUCAGCAUAUAAUGAUUUUAAUCAUCAUACAGAAAACAUUUCCCGCAAAUGUACUAUCCAAUAAAAAUACUUAAAGAAACUUCCUUGGGAUUUUUCUCUUAGAUGUGUGUUUUCUGGGAUGUUUACUGGGCAAGGUAUUUGUGACCAAGGCAUUCUUAAGUAAAAUUCAGUGGGAGUUAUCAGAAAAAUGGUAUUAUUUUUAAAAAUCCAAGAUUCUCACCCAGUACCUGACUUUAAAUGUGAAGACCCACAUGGAAAGAAAUGGAGUGCGUGGCCCUUAAAUCCACUCCAAGCUGAUGAAGAUAGUUUGAAUAGUUCACAGACCUGAUUUAACAAAUCAUUUCAAACAACGGUUGGGGAAUUAUCAGCUGAUAUCAGACAACCAGUGGGCAGGGAGAGACCAAGUUCUUGAGCAAAGCAGUUGUUUGCAGAUGGCUGGGUUCAGAAAGGAAGGAUGGAAAAUGAACCUGCCUGCAGGUUAACAAAUGUGAUCUGGAGUGGCUGAGUUCCACUGGCCCUAUUGAAGGAAGUACAGUGAACAAGAAGCAAGCAGAAUUACACGGGAAAAGGUGAGCCUGAUAUCUAAUCUUCUCUGUUGUAAUGAUGGUGUUAAAUGUGCAUGUGCAAAGGGAACGGAUGAGAUGGCAUAACUAGAAAGAAUUUGUAGAAGAGAGCAGAGCAGAAACAGGCUCUGUCAAAGCCAAAAAGGAUGCAUGCCAACGUUGUUUCUCUUGGCAUAGGUCAAAAAGCAGGCUGUGUGACAGGAGAGAAAUUGGAGAAGACUGAGAUAAUGCCCAAUUAGAUCAUGCAGUUCUCCUCCCUGGGGCCCAUGAAAGACUGGUAAGGAAUUUUUCUGCUGGGAGGGAAAAAAGAAAUUUGAAAAACUUUCCUUCCCUCAAAAUACUUAAAACAAAACGCCGCUGAAAAAUGCUGUUUCCAGCUUAAUGUGUUCACUCCCUGUUGACUCUUACAUGAAAAAUACAUUCCGAUACCAACUGUGAAAAUGCACAGUAAGUC